CACUGGCCAGGACAGGUGGACCUCCCUUCCCUCCCUCUACUACCGUCUGUACUCCAAAUCCCCAGGGCCACACGACUCUUCUGUGAUGUGUAUAAUCCUCAGAGCAAAACAUACUGUAAGCGGCUCCAGGUGCUGUGCCCCGAGCACUCACGGGACCCCAAAGUGCCAGCUGACGAGGUAUGCGGGUGCCCCCUUGUACGUGAUGUCUUUGAGCUCACGGGUGACUUCUGCCGCCUGCCCAAGCGCCAGUGCAAUCGCCAUUACUGCUGGGAGAAGCUGCGGCGUGCGGAAGUGGACUUGGAGCGCGUGCGUGUGUGGUACAAGCUGGACGAGCUGUUUGAGCAGGAGCGCAAUGUGCGCACAGCCAUGACAAACCGCGCGGGAUUGCUGGCCCUGAUGCUGCACCAGACGAUCCAGCACGAUCCCCUCACUACCGACCUGCGCUCCAGUGCCGACCGCUAAGCCUCCUGGCCCG
Molecule: small RNA, 475 nt
Filed under: Pongo abelii (Sumatran orangutan)
Lineage: Eukaryota; Metazoa; Chordata; Mammalia; Primates; Hominidae
Description: retained intron
Source: RNAcentral